Molecule: ribosomal RNA, 492 nt
Filed under: uncultured bacterium
Lineage: Bacteria
Description: partial 16S ribosomal RNA
Rfam family: Bacterial small subunit ribosomal RNA
Source: RNAcentral
AGUGAACGCUGGCGGUAGGCCUAACACAUGCAAGUCGAACGGCAGCACAGUAAGAGCCUGCUCUUACGGGUGGCGAGUGGCGGACGGGUGAGGAAUACAUCGGAAUCUACUUUUUCGUGGGGGAUAACGUAGGGAAACUUACGCUAAUACCGCAUACGACCUACGGGUGAAAGCAGGGGAUCUUCGGACCUUGCGCGAUUGAAUGAGCCGAUGUCGGAUUAGCUAGUUGGCGGGGUAAAGGCCCACCAAGGCGACGAUCCGUAGCUGGUCUGAGAGGAUGAUCAGCCACACUGGAACUGAGACACGGUCCAGACUCCUACGGGAGGCAGCAGUGGGGAAUAUUGGACAAUGGGCGCAAGCCUGAUCCAGCCAUACCGCGUGGGUGAAGAAGGCCUUCGGGUUGUAAAGCCCUUUUGUUGGGAAAGAAAAGCAGCAGGUUAAUACCCCGCUGUUCUGACGGUACCCAAAGAAUAAGCACCGGCUAACUUCAUG